AUCUCAAUAACUCCUUCGUCCAGCAUUUUCUGAAGAUCUCUGCGCACCUGGCGACAAUCCAAUCUGUUAACAGGGCAGAUUCGGCAUUUAUCAUGAUCGUGCUCAUAGUGACUGUACUCACACAGCAAACGGUGUAACUCGACCAGAGAUUCUCGAAUAUGACUGACAUAUUUGACUUUGUACUUGCCAGGACAACCCUGGACCAUGUUGACAGAUUUCCCAUGUGUAACACCUCAAAAUUUGCCCUCUCC
This 251-nucleotide long non-coding RNA is filed under the name Lathyrus oleraceus (garden pea). RNAcentral describes it as "Pisum sativum (pea) long non-coding RNA (PSAT_LNC013390)". Lineage: Eukaryota; Viridiplantae; Streptophyta; Magnoliopsida; Fabales; Fabaceae. The record is from RNAcentral.